RNAcentral lists this unclassified non-coding RNA (250 nucleotides) under plant metagenome. RNAcentral's name for it is "partial contains small subunit ribosomal RNA, internal transcribed spacer 1, and 5.8S ribosomal RNA". The record is from RNAcentral.
GUAGGUGAACCUGCGGAGGGAUCAUUAACACGUAUCCACGUAUCAACCAACGCGCACUUGGGACUGUCUAGUCCUAGCUAACCUAGUGAAUGAAAGCUGUGAUAUUGAAAAUCGUGUAGUGGGUAUUGUUCAAAUUGGAUUGCGAGUCGAUGGAGAAUUUGUCUGUGAAAGACCAGCCUCAGGAUACCAUCGAUAAACUUUCUGAUGAGUUCAAUAGGAUUUUCUCAUACACUUGAGGGUUAAACCUCGA